UGAAAACCACCAAACUCAAAUAUAAUUUAUCAAAUCAUACGGUAAAAUGGAACAUCGGUUAAACACUUCAACGAAAAGGAAAACGGAAAUGAAAACGAAACUGAAAAUGAACAGUAACUGCCACGUCACAAUCCGGCCGAGACCUGGCCGGAUUGGAGGCAGUGGCUCAACCCAAAAAUUUUCAACUUGCCCUGCCAAUCCGGCCAACUAUCCGGCCAAUAACUGGCCGGAUAUGGGGCCGGAUUCUCCGCAGGGGUUUCCCACCAACAAAUUUUUUCUUCUUUCCUUUUCAAAUGCCGUGCUCACUCGAUCGUCCAACAGUUACAAGAAACGUUCACCAAAGCCAUAGAAGUGUAACAUCUCAAAUGAAUACACUUAAAAAAACAAGGUUAAACAUUUAAACAUGUAUUUACAUCGGAGUCUUGAACAAAUGAACUAAAGUACAAACCAAAGUAUACAUACUACACAAAAUACAAUUAGGGUUUCGAUUUCAAAAGAGCUUAACGACAUAGCAUAUACACUAGCUCGAGCUAUUUCUUCCAAAACCAUGAUUUCCAAGUUUGUCCCCUGUAAGGAAAAACAAAGGUAACGGGAAGGGGGUGAGCUUACGCUCAAUGAGGUACCAAAAUAAUAGCAAUCAAGAAUCACGGAACUUCAUGUUCAAUUACUCACAUAUGCAUAUCAAAUAGGGAAAUAAACAAACACUUUAGAUAGAAAGGAUACAGGUGGCUCUCGGGAGCCCAAAAUUCCGUCCACAAACAUAGCCCUUACCGGGCCCGAACACCUCAACAGAAACAGAAGUGGUAAUACUCGAGUAUACCGGAAUCAAGAGUCUCAAUACCCAAAGAUUCCCAGAAACAGACUACCGUGGUUCGUUAUCUAAUCGACCUAACCCUUGCCGGCUCGACUUGAGUAACUAGACACAGGCUUUGAGCUCAGAGGUUACAAAAGAUCGUUGGAUACAAGUCUCCAACCGACGUUAGAUUAAGAACAGAUAAUAGAGUCAAAUAUACACAGUAAAUAGGCAAACAGAUAAGAGAACGAGUGUGAUAAAGUACACCCUCGUCUCAAACAGAAUAAGUAGAUAGUACAGUCAUUCAAAUUACCAAUUGCAUGUAUAGAAACCAAGUUAAGCAACAAUGAAGGGAGUGGUACACUCACCAGUUCUAACAAACCACUUCAAACGUUUUCACCCCAAAGUAGGGUUUUGAUCACCGUGAAACCCUAAGAAUAACUAAAGUAAAACAAUUGAAGUUCUCACAUCCAAAACGGAGUAAACGGAAUGCACAAGUGAGGCUUGACUACUAGUCGUAUGCCUAUUCAAAUGACUACAAAUACAAAGAGAUAAAGGUGUGGUUUCGGAGUAAAACGGUAGCGGUUGGUUCUUCAACAUGAACAAACCCCAAAACUCUACAUUUCUAUCAAAAACCAUACCUAUAAUGAUUUACUAACUCCAAACUUAAGGUGGAACAUAAGAGUAAGGACAAUUUUAGCAAAACAGGAUUUUCCAGUUUUGCGCACCAUCAUUUGAAAAAUCAUAUCUCAAGAUUCUUACGUCCAAAAUUGAUAAAUUUUAUACCGUCGGAAAAUAGACUCAAAGGGGUCCAAUUUCUCAGAAGACACAUUUAUAAGAUUCAGAUCACAAAUCAGUCAAAUUUGAGCCUCAAAUUGCUGUUUUAUCCACUAAAAGACAGAACAGGUAUGCAAUUUCAGUUAAAUUUGAAAAAUCCCCAUAAAUCACACAGACAGAACCAAAGUCUGAAAUUUUCACGACUAUCUAUGAAUCUAGUUUAAAACACAACAAACAGAACUCAAUUCCGAUAUUUCUAUAACAGGAUAUAGCAAAUUUUCCAAAACUGCUCAAGGGUUCCUACGAAAAUUUCAGCAGCACUUCCCUUGUUUUUCUUUACUUUUCCAACCUAACAUCAACACCCAAUCUCAUCUCAUUUCAGCCACAAUUUCCCAUAUAAAUCACAAGCUAUUGAACACACCUAAUUAGGGUCACAAUACCCUUCAAAUACAACCAAAUGGGAACUCAAAUUAAAAACCCUAAAGCUGGAAUUUUUGCACCCAAGCUGGAAAUUUCUUUAGACAAGUCCAUCUAGCACAUAAUACCUCAAUAAUUCAUAUAGCAAAGCUCUCAAAACAUGAACAACCCUCAAGCAUCACAGGUGACCAGAAUUUUCAACAUAAAACUGAAAUUUACCAUAAAACUACUUCUAACCAUGAAAUAUUCUCAUAAAGCUACAUAUUUUGCAACCUUGAACCACAAAUAAGCUAGUAUUAGGAGUAAAAAGAGAUUACUUGGCAAGAUACCUUAGAACCACAAGAAAGAUAGUAGCUUAGUGCCUUUCCCUCCAAAAUCACUCCACCAAUACCUUUAAUAUCUCUUAGAGGGCAACUUCUAUGGAGUAGUUUGAAAAUUUAAUGGUGGAAACUCAAGAUUGAGCAAGAAAAUGAAGUUGAGGUUGAAAGCUUUCUCUUGUUUUUUCCUCUAAGAGGUUCGGCCAAAGCAUGAAGAAAAAUGAGAUGAAUUUGGUCAAUUUUUGUGAUUUAGUAAAGUUAAGAAACCUUGGUCAAAAGUC
RNAcentral lists this long non-coding RNA (2585 nucleotides) under Coffea arabica (coffee). Its description in RNAcentral is "long non-coding RNA (CARA_LNC006319)". The record is from RNAcentral. Lineage: Eukaryota; Viridiplantae; Streptophyta; Magnoliopsida; Gentianales; Rubiaceae.